GACCUCAGAUCAGAUGAGAUUACCCGCUGAACUUAAGCAUAUCAAUAAGCGGAGGA
RNAcentral lists this ribosomal RNA (56 nucleotides) under Arthurdendyus triangulatus. RNAcentral describes it as "partial 28S ribosomal RNA". The record is from RNAcentral. Lineage: Eukaryota; Metazoa; Platyhelminthes; Tricladida; Geoplanidae.